AAUCAACGCUGGCGGCGCGCUUAACACAUGCAAGUCGAACGAGAAAGGUGGAGCAAUCUACUGAGUACAGUGGCGCACGGGUGAGUAACACGUGGGUAAUCCGCCCUUUGGUGGGAAUAACCCUGGGAACUGGGAAUAAUACCGCAUAAGUCCGCAAGGAGAAAGUACGCAAGACGCCGAAGGAGGAGCCCGCGGCCGAUUAGCUAGUUGGUAGGGUAAUGGCCUACCAAGGCANCGAUCGGUAGCCGGCCUGAGAGGGCACACGGCCACACUGGCACUGAGACACGGGCCAGACUCCUACGGGAGGCAGCAGUGGGGAAUCUUGCACAAUGGGGGAAACCCUGAUGCAGCGACGCCGCGUGAGCGAUGAAGCCCUUCGGGUGUAAGCUCCUCGGCAGGAACGAUAAUGACGGUACCUGCAGAAGAAGCUGCGGCUAACUACGUGCAGCAGCCG
This 454-nucleotide ribosomal RNA is filed under the name uncultured bacterium. RNAcentral describes it as "bacterial SSU rRNA". It matches the Rfam family "Bacterial small subunit ribosomal RNA", at positions 29 to 517 of the family's 1533-position model. The record is from RNAcentral.